This 454-nucleotide long non-coding RNA is filed under the name Vigna radiata. RNAcentral describes it as "long non-coding RNA (VRAD_LNC000852)". Lineage: Eukaryota; Viridiplantae; Streptophyta; Magnoliopsida; Fabales; Fabaceae. The record is from RNAcentral.
UUACGCAUUUCCAGAGACAUAUAUGUAACUUAUAUAUGUAACACCUGCCCAUUAUAUCAAUUCAUUCAUUUCAUUCAUUUGACAUAUAAAGUCUUAAUUCAGAGACAAACAUUUAACAUUAAUCCAUCAUACAAAAGUUUAUAAAAUUUUCAAUUACAACAAAUAUAUAAGUUCAAAUAAUUUCUCCAGAGAAUAAGUUUAAGUCCUAGAUGCACUACUCUCUAAAAACAUUACUAGUAAUUUCUUUCAUAGCGAUCCUGUUGUGGUUGAUCUUGUUGUGGUUGAUCCUCGUGUGGUUGAUCCUCGUGUGGUUGAUCCUCCUGUGCUUGUUGUGGUUGCUGAACAUUAGGUUGUGAAAGAUUUUGGGAUUGAAAAAAUUCUUGUGCAGCUGCUGCUGCAGAAGGCGGAAGGUGUUGCAAUAUGGCGCCAAUAAAACCUUCAAAUUUAGANNNNN